UUUUAGCACAAACCCUAUAAAAUCUAUCUUGUCAGAAUGUGCCAGAACCUCUAAGCCCUUCCCGGCUGAACAAACUGCAGCUGGUGCUUCAUCCUGAAAGUAGAGAAUCGACUUUGCGUGUUGGGUAUAGGCAGCACACUGGCCCCGGUUUUCGCCCGGCUGCCGGGCCGACUGGGGAAGGCGUGGGUUUAGAUUAGCUGUGUCCUACGCUGCUUGACGGGGUGACACGGGUCUAUAGGGCCGAGCCCGGGGCCUGGAGAUAGGGCCAGCCAGCAGGAAUGCAGGGAAUGUUUUUCUUCGGACUCUAUCGAGGCACACAGACCGUGGGGAUUCUGUCCGCGGUGACAGCCUUAACAUUUGCCAGAGCCCUGGACGCCGCUCUAGAAAUGGCAUUGCCCACCCUGGAAGUGAGAAGAUUGUGAGAGGAGGCAAACGAUGGUUUUUGGAGACAUUUUGUCAAAGAGAGAGAAAUAGCUAAAUUGAAAUGAACUCUUAAAAGCAGCCCAAGAGUCUCUGGAUGGGUAAAAAAGUGCGGAGUAGAGAAAAGGAGGGAACCCGAGAGCAGUUUCUCUGCCUCUGGGAUCAACCUUGCACCAAAGAAAAAUAACCCGGAGAAAUUAGUCUGCAGCCAGGAACGAGGCCGGGAUCAAAUGGUUGCUGAUCGGAGCAAAUAUUUAAACGGGAUAAGUCAAAUCGAGCAUUAUUAAA
Long non-coding RNA from Zalophus californianus (California sea lion), 708 nucleotides. RefSeq lists it as uncharacterized. Lineage: Eukaryota; Metazoa; Chordata; Mammalia; Carnivora; Otariidae. The record is from RefSeq and is a predicted model, not a curated record. The transcript has 3 exons.